CAGUAGCCGCGGUAAUACGAAGGGUGCAAGCGUUACUCGGAAUUACUGGGCGUAAAGCGUGCGUAGGUGGUGGUUUAAGUCCGUUGUGAAAGCCCUGGGCUCAACCUGGGAAUUGCAGAGGAUACUGGAUCACUAGAGUGUGGUAGAGGAUAGUGGAAUUUCCGGUGUAGCAGUGAAAUGCGUAGAGAUCGGAAGGAACAUCUGUGGCGAAGGCGACUAUCUGGGCCAACACUGACACUGAGGCACGAAAGCGUGGGGAGCAAACAGGAUUAGAUACCCCCGUAGUCCCUGUCUCUUAUAC
RNAcentral lists this ribosomal RNA (301 nucleotides) under uncultured bacterium. Its description in RNAcentral is "partial 16S ribosomal RNA". It matches the Rfam family "Bacterial small subunit ribosomal RNA", at positions 509 to 807 of the family's 1533-position model. The record is from RNAcentral.